Molecule: unclassified non-coding RNA, 308 nt
Filed under: uncultured fungus
Lineage: Eukaryota; Fungi
Description: partial contains 5.8S ribosomal RNA and internal transcribed spacer 2
Rfam family: 5.8S ribosomal RNA (bases 1-133)
Source: RNAcentral
UGGUUCUGGCAUNGAUGAAGAACGCAGCGAAAUGCGAUAAGUAAUGUGAAUUGCAGAAUUCAGUGAAUCAUCGAAUCUUUGAACGCACAUUGCACCCUCUGGUAUUCCGGGGGGUAUGCCUGUUCGAGCGUCAUUACAACCCUCAAGCCCUGCUUGGUAUUGGAUGCAAUUGCUAAAUUCAUCUCAAAAUUAGUGGUGGUGCCGUCUGGCUUCCAGCGUAGUAAUCGUCUCGCUGUGGGCGUCCAGGCUGUUGCUGCCAGCAAACAACUCACUAGGUUGACCUCGGAUCAGGUAGGGAUACCCGCUGA